GACGAACGCUGGCGGCGUGCCUAACACAUGCAAGUCGAGCGAAUGAAGUUCUUUCGGGGAUGGAUUUAGCGGCGGACGGGUGAGUAACACGUGGGCAACCUGCCUCAUAGAGGGGAAUAGCCUUCCGAAAGGGAGAUUAAUACCGCAUAAGAUUGUAGUAUCGCAUGAUACAGCAAUUAAAGGAGCAAUCCGCUAUGAGAUGGGCCUGCGGCGCAUUAGCUAGUUGGUGAGGUGACGGCUCACCAAGGCGACGAUGCGUAGCCGACCUGAGAGGGUGAUCGGCCACAUUGCGACUGAGACACGGCCCAGACUCCUACGGGAGGCAGCAGUGGGGAAUGUUGCACAAUGGGGGAAACCCUGAUGCAGCAACGCCGCGUGAGUGAUGACGGCCUUCGGGUUGUAAAGCUCUGUCUUCAGGGACGAUAAUGACGGUACCUGAGGAGGAAGCCACGGCUAACUACGUGCCAGCCGCCGCCGUAA
This 480-nucleotide ribosomal RNA is filed under the name uncultured bacterium. RNAcentral describes it as "partial 16S ribosomal RNA". It matches the Rfam family "Bacterial small subunit ribosomal RNA", at positions 28 to 523 of the family's 1533-position model. The record is from RNAcentral.